AGAGGAGUCUGUUAUGAAAUCAGAUGCAAUUUUAGAUGUCUGAAAGAGUUUCUUUAGGCUAAAGGCAGCUGAAGAUCAAUUACACUGUUAGCAAAUGUGCUUCCAGCUGGUUGGAGCUUCUCUUGAGGGAGAGUCUCAACCCAGGGCCCAUUGCAAUGGUAGUGCAGGAAAGGGCUUGCAUUUGCUUUGGGCUAAGGAUCUUCUGCUGCCCAGUUCUACCUGUGAGAAGAGAAACUGGAGAUGAUGUGGGAGAAUGACAACAGCACUAUUACUGGUGAGUUACUGGCUGUUCCUUUCCCCUCAAAUCCCCAUGCUGGGUCUGUGUUUGAAGAUUUUGCUCAAAACCCCAUGCUCCUGAACUAUGGGUUUGCUAACAAAUGGGCAGACUGUACUGGCACAGACUUUGCCUUUCAGGAGGUACUGAAGAAAUAGGUUUAAACGGAUCAAAUUCUCAGAAACCCAGCCUGUGGCUUGUGCCUUAGCUUUUUAGGCUGUACUGUUUGUUUUAUUUUGUUUCUUUGUUUGCUUAUCUCCAAAGCUGAUAUGAAGAAAAGAUGGAAACAGCCUCCUGAAGGUCAAGGUGAGACUGACCAACACCUGAUUGCUGGUACUCACCAGCAGUAAUAAAUCCCCGAUCACAGGUGCUGGAAGUCUCUUCAGCAAAACAACAUUGCUGCAGAGGACCAACAACUAGUCCUGACCUUCUUUACACAACCAUUCUCUGGGAAAUGUAUCCCCUGAAGCCAAUGUGGAUUCCGCCUAGCUUUCAUCAGAAGAGAAAUGCCCGGAUUGAAAUGACAACAACAAAUGAUAGGCGCUGGUGAUUUGCACUCUCUCCACCUAAAUCAGAUAUCUGGCACAUCAAUACUUAGAAGGCUUAGGAGAAGAAGAAAACAUCAAUAUUUCACUGAACACAAAAAGUUGCACAACUCCCCAGUCUUUAUUUUAAUGUCAACUGUGGUUAGUUUGUCAUUUUUUUUCCUGUAAGAUGAGUGAUUUCCACUUCUCUUUGAAUCCCACCUGCGCAAAUAGCUUGUUUUUCUCCCUAGCAAGUGUUAACAAGGAACUGCGAGGGUUUUGUUCAGGCUCAGUAGUCAGGCAGUCCUGCGGCGUCUGACUUCUAGGAAAAGCCACAGCAGGAACAAAUGAGAGCCAGCCCACGCACCAGGCGCAGCUUUUGCUGGUCCUCAGCUCAUGUUCCAGCUCACACUCGUGGUAAAUGGAUCUCUGUUAGCAACUGCAACGCCGACCAGCGCCGGGAGCACAGAUCUGGACGAGCUGGAUGCUUCAUCAUGGAGCUGCCCUCAGAAACGAUGGCCCAUUACGAGGCAGCUUCACCCUCCUCAGCAGAGCCCACGGCAAUUUAGGACUUGCUCUGCUCACUUUAGUCCGUGCAGUUUCAUCCUUUAUGUGAACCAGAUCAUGCAAAUGGGGGCACCGGAGUCACAGGGAAGUCGAGUUCCACACGAGGAGUGGCAGGAGAAGGAGCAGCAAUUAGCUCUGAAUUCACUCUACCAGCCUGUAAUUUCUGCACUCUCCCCUGCUGCUCUGCAAGUGGAAGCCUUGCGCUCUAGAAGAAGGGGAGAAGAACAUUUUGCUCAUGCUCAUAUUAAUCAAGUCAUCUUGUGAGCUGCUGAAUCUGUGAAAUUAUAUCUCCCAUGGAGUUCGGUGGUAAUGACUGUCUUCGAUGUGGACUCUCUGGUGUCUAAUAAUACAGUAAUAUUUCUGCAGUGGAUGCACUCCCAGCAUUUCUUCUCCUCUGCCUGCCUACUUCUACAGCACUUGUAGGCAGCUCAAACCUUUGAGACUUCUAUCCCCUGUCAAGUUUGAUCAAACUCAGUUCACAGGCUCAAAAAUUAUUUAGGAGGGACCGACUGGCACUUGCACAGACAGUGUGAUCUCAUAAGCUUCCUUUCCUUGGGAAACUAGGCUACCAACCUAGCAACGGGGUGAAAAAAAAAGCCAUCCUGCUAGCAAAGAGGACCUAAACACCGGGAGGAAAGAGGGGAGGUGGGAGAGGAAAGUGAAGCUGUUUUGAAGGGAAAAAAAUUGCUGCCUUGUGGCUGCAGAGCUCUCACACACUUAAAGGACCAGCCUUGGAGGGACAUGCUGGAGAAAAUAUUCUCCAGGAGAUGGAAAGUUCUCUCAUGAAAAUUGGUAAGGGAAAGAAAUGACCUGGAUUCAUCUCACCACCUGGCAUGCUGAAUGGAUAUCUCUAUGGUAAGGAUUGUCUCUGGUGACACUCAUUCCUCCCUGUGGUCUAGAGGAAGACACAGACACAAUUAGCAUGCAACCUGUAUGCCUGCAGCCUCUAAAGCGAGGUGUGUCCUAUCCCAAAGGGAAUUAUCUUCUUCCCACUCUCUCCUUCAGACCAAAGUUUUCCAUGGUGCUGCUGCAGGGUUUGUUACUUCAUGUACUACAUUUGUAUUUUAGAAAAGCUGCUGUGUGUCUUAAUAGCUGCAGAUGUAUGCAUGGUUUUACUGGGCAUUUAUUAUCACUUAUCCUCUUUGCACUGAAACCUUUCCUGUCCUUGUAUCUUACGGAAUAAAAUUCUUUAAGUGAG
Long non-coding RNA from Camarhynchus parvulus, 2563 nucleotides. RefSeq lists it as uncharacterized. The transcript is spliced from 3 exons. NCBI's taxonomy places the organism in Eukaryota, Metazoa, Chordata, Aves, Passeriformes, Thraupidae. The record is from RefSeq and is a predicted model, not a curated record.